GGACAGGGCCAGGAGGCUGGAAAACCUAUGAGGCAGAUGGUGUAUCUGCCCCUUUAAACUUGGCCAGAGAGAAACUCUGCUUCCUAGAUGGCAACAGCAAUACCACCUCUAGCUGCUGGCUCCACUGGUGGAACAUUCUCACACAGUGGUCAGGUAGAAAGCACUAUUUGGAUGGACUUCACCUUGGAUUUCCUACUUCUGGAUGAAAUUAGGGAAAUCAUCUGAUGCUCAAAGAGGAGGCAUGAUGGCAGCCAAACCACUCAGUGAGAGCGCUGGGAUGAGAACUCAGAUCUCCUGGGCUCUUUCCACUCCAGUCCUCUGUUAAUCUUCAUCUAUUUCUCCAUGUCCAUCAGUAUCAAGCACAGAAUUCUACAGUCUUUUCCUAGAGAUCGACCAAAAGAUGGCAGCCAGCUGUGUUUGUCCUCAAGGUACCAUGUUGGGAAGGUAAAGAGAACUGGGAGCUCCAGGAUGUGGGCUCUCCAGUCUGCAGAUUCUAAGGUAAUGCCUUCUCUCUCCAGCAUCCCUAUGGGGAAUCAAGGACACAAUGCAUGUUGAGCACUUGGUAUGUGUCAGGAGCUGGGUAAGUGGCAUUUUCCUUUGCUCUUUCUCAGGACACCCCACUGGCAGCUCCUGGCAGCCCCUCAGGGAAACCUUACAGGGGGUCCUUCCAGGUAGAAGAGCAACUCCUUUAUCUUGGCAGGCAGGGCUCACCCAUGUUUGUGGCCUCAGAAGGACCUGCUGGAUGGCUUAGCACCUGGACAGCAGGCUGUGGUCUCGCAGUCCCUUUCAGAGCAGCAUCUGUUCCGCUGGGCUCCUAUCAAGCUCUCUGGGGGCAGCUCUGCCCUUGCACCACUUUUUUAAAGAACAGCCCACCCAUUGCUCUAUGGGGAUAGGGGGACCUACCACUUACUUAACUAAUUUACUUUUCAGUAAGACUGAGAAGGGAAAAAAUGAGUCAUGAGCUGAGGCUGGGGGCCCAGCUCUUGCCCCACAGAGGGUCACUAUGCAGUGCCAUGAGGUGGGUCAUUUCUAGAGCAAACUUCGCUCCCCUUGGCUUGGCCCAACUUUUAAUAAGUCCACACUGACUCAUUCUCUUUUGCUUCAAGGAAACUGUUAAAUUCACUAGAACUUGCCAUGGUGUGACAGUGUAGAGCCCAUCCGUUCUUCCUGGCAUUGUCUGGUUUUACAGACAGAACAUAUUUGGUGAAAGUCCCAAGAUUUUAUGUCCUGUCUCUAUAGGUUGUGAAUUUUCUUGAGUAAUCUCUGUUCCAAAUAUUCUACUUUACUGAUCCUAGAAACCACCCACAUGAAAAUGUUUUAGUAUGUAUUUUUUCUCUGACAGCCUCGACUCCCCAUGUUCUGCCAGCCCAUGGGCUUUCUUCAGAAGUGGUCAGGGUACCCAUUGGGUGUGUGGGUACCAUCAAGGACAUUGAGCUAUUUAUGUUUGGGGAGUCCUUCUCCCUGGGAGGCAGAGCCAGUCUACCUCUACAGAGUUAGCAGUGGUAGAUAUUCGUUUCCUAGUCCAGACUUUAAAAUGGAAGCUCGUCAUACAAAAAAGCAGGAACCACACAGAAUGCAUUCUGGCACAGGGAUGGCUUCAUCCAGCUUACUGGCAGACUCAGAGCACUUUCCAGCUCUCACUGUCACUGCAGCAGAGGUGACAAGCUGCAGUGUCUGUGCUCAGCAGAAGCUGCUCUGGGGCGUUACCAGACCAGUUCUCCAGCACAAUUUGGCUAUUUCCCCAGGCUGACUAGCCCCAGAGCCUAGUCCUAUGACCGUUUUGCAAAUUCUACGAACCAGAGCCUACUUCACAGGUCAGCAACCUGUGUAGUCACACAGGGCCCCAGGCGCAGCACGAUCCUGUGCUUAAAUGCUCUUCUGUCCGGCUUCCAACCCUUCAAAUUUUUGACCAAGAAGCUUCACAUUUCCAUUUUGUACUGGGCCCUGCCAAUUACAUGGCCAAGCCUGCUGUAAGCUAGCUUGGCCAUACUUUAGGUUAAGCAGUUCUUAACCUUUUGUGUGCCACAGAGUCCUUUGAUGAUCCGGUGAAGCCUAUGAAGUAUAUAAAGAAUCUUUUUAAAUGCACAAAAUAAAAUACAUAGGAGGCUAAUUAUAUUAAAAUAUAGUCAAAUAUUUUUUUAAAAUAACGAAUAUACGAUAGUAUAGUAUGUGUGCUUUUUUAUUAGUGCCUUAAAUAAAACCACCAGCAACAACUGAAAUGGGACUUGAAAAUAUCUAUGGCUUCUAAAGGCAAUAAAGUCACAGGUAUCUGACAUGUCCACAUUUAUAACUUAAGGAAAUGCUAAAUUCGGUGAGAGAUUUUUUUUCAUUGAUCUAUCCAAGUCACAGAGCUCUAGUUUUUUAAAUGAAAAUUUAAUUUUAAAACAAUUAAAAUUUAAUCUAAAUAAAUUCCUUUUCUGCUUCAAUCGGCCAAAGCUAGUAUGUGCUGCUUACAAAGAGAAGCCUGAAGGAUACAGGACCCCAAUGGGACUCAGGCCCCCAGGACCAGCCUUGCAAACACAACAAUCAGAGUGGCCCCAGGUGAGUCAAAGAUGUAUCCAACGUGGCUCCGCCUCAGUGUGAGGAUCGUAGAGGAGAAAGUGUCAAUGACAACAGCCCAGGAUGCUGCCUGGGAAGCAUGUGACUGGCCCUAUGUGUGUGGUACAAUCCAAGUGAUCUAGACGUCUGAGCAAGUGGAGAUCCUUUCCAACUGGGAAGGUCCACUAUUAAUAAUGGUUCUAUCUUAUGAGAAGGGAGCUAAGACACAUAACUGUAUAAUCAUUGCUCCAAAGCCCACAGCAAGUUGACAGAAAGCUGAAGAGUCUCCUUUCUCGAUUUCCCAAAUUCUAACCCAGAAUUCUUUGUUCUAGAUAUUUCAACAUGAGUUGCUUUUUGGAGAUCUCAAAGGAAAUAUGAUCAAAACAUACCUCCCCAGAUACUUUUUUUUUUGGGGGGGGGGCACCUCCUCCGCAUGUGAAAGUUCCCAGGCCAGGGAGCGAACCCGUGUCUGAAGUUUCCACCUGUGCCACAGCUGCGGCAAUGGCGGAUCCUUAACCUGCUGUGCCACAAAGGAAAUACCCAGGUACUAUUUUCUCGUCCCCCUUCCACUUUUCCUUUGGGGAAGAGGGAUUUAAAAGCCCUUCAACACAAAGGGAAUAUCUAUCCUUUGGACACACUUGAGAAACCUGGGUUUGUUUCCAAAGCAGAAAGCAAUCCACUCACAGAUACCCUGAAUCUUCCAAAGUUGUUUUAUAUCCAUUAUUAUGUUUGAGUUUGGGGCACAUACCAUUACCCCUAUUCUACAGAUAAGGAAACCAAGGGUCAAAGAAGCUGUGACUUGCACAAGGUCAGAAAGCAAGGAAGCAAAACCAGGUUCCUUGCUGCUUAGCCCAGUCUCCUUCCCUCUGCCCACCACUCUCCUGUGAGCAGAUCAUAACAAAAAGGGAGGCUGUCUCUGAUGGGGAAGUACAUUCAUGCAGAUUAUCGAAAAACCAAGAUACCCACACCUCAGAUUCUGGAUAGCAGGUGUCAGUUAAGAGGGGAGAGGCUCAAGAAAGAAAACGGAUGACCAAAUCCCCUGACCCCAAACAGACUUUGAUUUGAGCCCCAGCAGAGGACAGAACUCUCUUGGCCAGUGACCAGCAUACAGAGUCCUUCCCAUUCCUGCCUUGGUCUUAGGCUCAUAACAACAGCAACAGCAGGAAAAGGGCUCCAUGAACAUAAAAAUAAACAAACUUUCUAUUUUUAGCAGGGCUGCAGCUGUGAGAGCUUCAUUAUUUGCUUUUGAGCUGCAGCAUUCUGAGGGAGGAGACGCAAGGGUGGAGGGGGUGGGGGGCGAGGACAACUAGGGACAGUUGGACCGGGAGCCAAAUUCCCCACUGCUGAACCUAAUUACACACAGGCCACAGAAACCGACAUCCAAACUGGAAGUCUGUGGAGUCUGCAGGUCUGGAAAAACUGGAGGGCGACAACCAGGAAGCCAGCCCGUGACUGGACUCUCUUCUGGCCAUAUAUAGAAGUAAAUCAUUUCUUACACACAUGGUUUUUGAGGGCUACUGAAAACUGUGUUGCCUAGUGACCCCAUCAGAGGAGUGAAAGAUAAGCUUGUGAGUAGGAGACCUUUCUCCUCUUAACUCAGACUUUAGUUGCAACCUGUGUGACUCACAGAAACUCAGAUCCAGCAUCCUCGGCAGGUCUGGACAUUGUAAGAAGGGAGUUCUGAAGCUGCCACAGAGGAGGGGCCUUUCCUUAUAAAUGUCGCAGAGGCUUUAGGAAAAAUAUGCACCUCAUCCGAUUUCAGAAGUACCUCUUUAGCCAUGCAAAUGCUUUUAGCUGGGCUAUACUCUGACCCCAUGUCAUUUUUAAUUAUGUUCUCUGCCCCUCUCAUGGCCCUUUUCACAUAUAGUCCUGAUUAUAUGUUUAGUCCAUGUGAGCAGGCAGAAUUGCAGAUCCCAAAGCAGUACUGAGGAAGGAAAGAACCCAAUGCUUCAGGCACUUACAAGGAAACAAGUGCACAAGCAAGGGUACCACGCUCUUCCAUGCUGGGAGAAGGCCUUUGCAACCUCCCAGAUGGGGCCUGAUGGCCUUCACUCACUGGCAAAUAUUUACCAAGCACCUCACAGAACCAUCCCUGCCCACCCAGAGCUGCAGACCAGUGUGAAGAACAAAUAAACAUUGUCAUUACUGUGGGGCAGGCACUAUGAGGGGAAGCAUAGAGUCCUGUGGGAACACAGAAGACUAGCUUCUACCCAAGUCUUAGAAAGCCAAGCUCUUUCCAGAGGAGAUGGUGGCUGAGCUGGCACCCAGGCAGGUAGAGAUUGGGUCGGGGGAAGAAUUUCUCCUAAAAAAGCCCCAUGAGAAGACAGCUCUCAAAUAAUAACAUGGUAAGAGAACAGAACAGGGCUAAAAUAUUCAAGAACUUAACCCCAACACCUCAGACACAGUGCACGUCUACCUCCCAAUCAUACUGACCAUGUUACCCAAUAACAUUACAGAGCAAAUUAAUUGCUUUCAAAUUAUAAGGGGGAAAAAAAAAAGACAGUAUCAUAAUCUAUUUGACCUUGAAUUUUGACAGCUAACAAUGUACGCCCUGGAAUCUUGGGAUUGGAGGAAAUCACAUGGGCCACUGAGUCCUCUCACCAGGUACAGUAAUCCCCCUACAGCGGCCCUGCCAAGUGGUCACCCAGACUCUGCUCCAAUUGCUCCAGUAAUGGAGAGCUCUGCAGGGAUCAAGGCAACUAGUUGGUUUUAAAAGCAGGAGCUAGAGUGUAUAGUGACCACCUACCAGGCUGAAGUCUUUCCAUACUCAAUAAAUGCUACAAAAGGCCAACAG
This 5332-nucleotide long non-coding RNA is filed under the name Sus scrofa (pig). Its description in RNAcentral is "lncRNA (ENSSSCG00035012040.1)". Lineage: Eukaryota; Metazoa; Chordata; Mammalia; Artiodactyla; Suidae. The record is from RNAcentral.